UGGUAAUGCCGGAUGCUCCGGUUGGAUGCAUGUCCUUCCGGGAAAGAUUCUAUCGGUAUGGGAUGGGGUCGCGUCCUAUCAGCUUGAUGGCGGGGUAACGGCCCACCAUGGCUUCGACGGGUAGCCGGCCUGAGAGGGCGACCGGCCACAUUGGGACUGAGAUACGGCCCAGACUCCUACGGGAGGCAGCAGUGGGGAAUAUUGCACAAUGGGCGCAAGCCUGAUGCAGCGACGCCGCGUGCGGGAUGGAGGCCUUCGGGUUGUAAACCGCUUUUGAUCGGGAGCAAGCCCUUCGGGGUGAGUGUACCUUUCGAAUAAGCACCGGCUAACUACGUGCCAGCAGCCGCGGUAAUACGUAGGGUGCAAGCGUUAUCCGGAAUUAUUGGGCGUAAAGGGCUCGUAGGCGGUUCGUCGCGUCCGGUGUGAAAGCCCAUCGCUUAACGGUGGGUCUGCGCCGGGUACGGGCGGGCUGGAGUGCGGUAGGGGAGACUGGAAUUCCCGGUGUAACGGUGGAAUGUGUAGAUAUCGGAAA
This 532-nucleotide ribosomal RNA is filed under the name Bifidobacterium dentium. Its description in RNAcentral is "bacterial SSU rRNA". It matches the Rfam family "Bacterial small subunit ribosomal RNA", at positions 161 to 703 of the family's 1533-position model. The record is from RNAcentral. Lineage: Bacteria; Bacillati; Actinomycetota; Actinomycetes; Bifidobacteriales; Bifidobacteriaceae.